Molecule: ribosomal RNA, 402 nt
Filed under: Klebsiella pneumoniae
Lineage: Bacteria; Pseudomonadati; Pseudomonadota; Gammaproteobacteria; Enterobacterales; Enterobacteriaceae
Description: partial 23S ribosomal RNA
Rfam family: Bacterial large subunit ribosomal RNA
Source: RNAcentral
GGGACACGUGGUAUCCUGUCUGAAUAUGGGGGGACCAUCCUCCAAGGCUAAAUACUCCUGACUGACCGAUAGUGAACCAGUACCGUGAGGGAAAGGCGAAAAGAACCCCGGCGAGGGGAGUGAAAAAGAACCUGAAACCGUGUACGUACAAGCAGUGGGAGCACCUUCGGGUGUGACUGCGUACCUUUUGUAUAAUGGGUCAGCGACUUAUAUUCUGUAGCAAGGUUAACCGUAUAGGGGAGCCGCAGGGAAACCGAGUCUUAACUGGGCGUUAAGUUGCAGGGUAUAGACCCGAAACCCGGUGAUCUAGCCAUGGGCAGGUUGAAGGUUGGGUAACACUAACUGGAGGACCGAACCGACUAAUGUUGAAAAAUUAGCGGAUGACUUGUGGCUGGGGGUGAA